This 253-nucleotide ribosomal RNA is filed under the name uncultured bacterium. RNAcentral's name for it is "partial 16S ribosomal RNA". It matches the Rfam family "Bacterial small subunit ribosomal RNA", at positions 524 to 776 of the family's 1533-position model. The record is from RNAcentral.
UACAGAGACUGCAAGCGUUAUUCGGAUUCACUGGGCGUAAAGGGUGCGCAGGCGGCCAAGUGUGUUAGGCGUGAAAGCCCGAGGCUUAACCUCGGAAUUGCACCUAAAACUACAUGGCUAGAGUACUGGAGAGGGUAACGGAAUUCACGGUGUAGCAGUGAAAUGCGUAGAUAUCGGGAGGAACACCUGUGGCGAAAGCGGCUCACUGGACCACAACUGACGCUGAGGCGCGAAAGCUAGGGGAGCAAACAGG